RNAcentral lists this transfer RNA (73 nucleotides) under Capra hircus (goat). It matches the Rfam family "tRNA". Rfam says of the family: Transfer RNA (tRNA) molecules are approximately 80 nucleotides in length. Their secondary structure includes four short double-helical elements and three loops (D, anti-codon, and T loops). Lineage: Eukaryota; Metazoa; Chordata; Mammalia; Artiodactyla; Bovidae. The record is from Rfam by way of RNAcentral. RNAcentral also lists the same sequence under 1 other name.
UCCCUGGUGGUCCACUGGUUAAGACUCUGUGCUUCCAAUGCAGAGGGCACAGGUUUGAUCCCUGGUCAGGGAA